Molecule: long non-coding RNA, 727 nt
Organism: Dendrobium catenatum
Lineage: Eukaryota; Viridiplantae; Streptophyta; Magnoliopsida; Asparagales; Orchidaceae
Exons: 2
Source: RefSeq, a predicted model, not a curated record
GAGAAACUCACGUCGCAUAAAUUUAGAAAAAUAGCUUCAUCUUCUUUGUGCCUAUAAAAUCCCGCUGAAAUCUUGGUGUCGAUCUGCCGAAAGUCCAGAAGCCCCUCCACCCUUCGAUUCCCUCAGGCAAACUGCACCAAGCAUUUUACCGAUUUUCAACUACUUUGAUUCGAUGGGAUAUAUGGUAUUCGCAUUCCCUACCUUAGGGUUCUUUUUCAUUAGUGGUUGUUCGCUUUAUCUGAUUGAUUGAAUAUUUUUACUCUUCCAAGAAUUCCUUUUAUGAUGAACAUGGGGCCGCUAAGGAGCUUUCACUUACUCGUUGCGAUGCUAGGCAUAAUUGUGUUUCCUCGUUGUUUCAGGGCUUGUUGCUGUCUAAAGGUUAGGGCAGAACGGAAAGGUUUUGUAGUGGUGUUGUGUCAGAGUGUUUGCUGGGAAAAUUGAAGAUUUUCUUAGCCCUAGAAUUAGGACGCAUAGAUCUAGCUAGAAAAGUUCUGAACUUGAAAAUUCUGUAUUUAUAGUCACCCGCCUGCUGUGCAUGUCGCAGGGGCUUCAGUCCUGACCUUCUAGGUUACGAGUUUGAGCUGUGAUGUGGGUGUGUGGGCAAGUAAUUAUCAAAGUUCUGAAAAUCAGCGCAUGUAACCAGAAUAAACAGAGAUUUUGGUCAAUGAUUUAACGUAGUUGAACCGGAUGACAUAAUAAAAAUAAUAUAAGUAUUCAAUAUACUAUA